RNAcentral lists this ribosomal RNA (92 nucleotides) under Chorisepalum psychotrioides. RNAcentral describes it as "partial 5.8S ribosomal RNA". It matches the Rfam family "5.8S ribosomal RNA", at positions 68 to 154 of the family's 154-position model. From Rfam's summary of the family: 5.8S ribosomal RNA (5.8S rRNA) is a component of the large subunit of the eukaryotic ribosome. It is transcribed by RNA polymerase I as part of the 45S precursor that also contains 18S and 28S rRNA. Lineage: Eukaryota; Viridiplantae; Streptophyta; Magnoliopsida; Gentianales; Gentianaceae. The record is from RNAcentral.
UGAAUUGCAGAAUCCCGUGAACCAUCGAGUCUUUGAACGCAAGUUGCGCCCAAAGCCACUAGGCCGAGGGCACGUCUGCCUGGGCGUCACGC